UAGCCGUAAACGAUACUCGCUAGGUGUCGGCCACGGUGCGACCGUUGUCGGUGCCGUAGGGAAGCCGUGAAGCGAGCCACCUGGGAAGUACGGCCGCAAGGCUGAAACUUAAAGGAAUUGGCGGGGGAGCACCACAACGGGUGGAGCCUUCGGCUUAAUUGGACUCAACGCCGGGAAGCUCACCGGAUAAGACAGCGGAAUGAUUGCCGGGCUGAAGACCCUGCAUGACCAGCUGAGAGGUGGUGCAUGGCGUAGUCGUGU
This 261-nucleotide ribosomal RNA is filed under the name uncultured archaeon. RNAcentral describes it as "partial 16S ribosomal RNA". It matches the Rfam family "Archaeal small subunit ribosomal RNA", at positions 748 to 1009 of the family's 1478-position model. The record is from RNAcentral.